This 863-nucleotide long non-coding RNA is filed under the name Felis catus (domestic cat). RNAcentral describes it as "lncRNA (ENSFCAG00000049675.1)". The record is from RNAcentral. Lineage: Eukaryota; Metazoa; Chordata; Mammalia; Carnivora; Felidae.
CUGAAAUAGGAGGACUAGGAUAAACUAAGUAGCUUCACGUGGAGAUGUAUUUGAAAUGCAAAAGAAGGAAGAAAAUAGACAUGUCUACAUUAUAAGUGAGAUUUAACUAACAUUUCUGUUUCAGAAUGGCCUGCACUCCAGAGCUGGGGAAGGGAAAAUGAUGAAUCCAUCCCCAUUUCAUUGGCUUAACUUCCCGUCUGCUUUUCUGAUUUUCUAGAUUGACAUUAGAGGUGCAUACGUCCUGGGUAUCUAUCUACAUUUGACGUCAUUUGAUCCCUGGAAGGACAGCGCACCUCAGAAGCACAGAGCAGAAUAAAGGGUCUGCUGGACACGCAGUUGGAGCGUAUGAAUCAACAGAUGUAGCUCACAGAACCACACCUCCCAGGAUUUACGUGGCAUUCAGCUCGUGCUCUUGAACACAACAUUAUGCUGACAUUCAGUGUCUGUAGGCUGGAGAUCACCCCUGGCUUCCCUGGGUACACAGGGUGGCACCAGCACCCCGGGAAAUAAAAACUGAAACAUUCCCCCAGAAUGAACCCGGGGGAGCACAAAAGGCACAGGAUGUCCAAUACCACAGUACUCUCCAAUAUAGUCCAUUCAAAACACAGGCUCCAGCGACCCUGGGAGAUUCAGGUGAAGAAAGACAGGCCACAUAAGGUGUAAACCCUUUGUGGUCCUAGGCCAAAAGGUGUGGUGAAGAACAUUGCUUUAGGGAACACCUACCAUGGCUGUGGGUAUGACGGCCAGACCCUUCAACCUCUAUUAAUUCCGUCUUGAGAGGAAACUCAAAUCAUAAUGGCUGCUGAGUAUAUCCUAUGCAAUUGGAAAGGCCACAUUUGGCCAGCAAAGGUUUUUGUCCAGAU